This 253-nucleotide ribosomal RNA is filed under the name uncultured bacterium. Its description in RNAcentral is "partial 16S ribosomal RNA". It matches the Rfam family "Bacterial small subunit ribosomal RNA", at positions 524 to 776 of the family's 1533-position model. The record is from RNAcentral.
GACAGAGGGUGCAAACGUUGUUCGGAAUUACUGGGCGUAAAGCGUGUGUAGGCGGCUUGGCAAGUUGGAUGUGAAAGCCCACGGCUCAACCGUGGAAGCGCACCCAAAACUGCUUCGCUCGAGUCUCGGAGAGGAGGGUGGAAUGCUUGGUGCAGAGGUGAAAUUCGUAGAUAUCAAGCAGAGCACCUGCGGCGAAGGCGGCCUUCUGGACGAUGACUGACGCUGAGACACGAAAGCGUGGGGAGCAAACAGG